This 460-nucleotide ribosomal RNA is filed under the name uncultured bacterium. RNAcentral's name for it is "partial 16S ribosomal RNA". It matches the Rfam family "Bacterial small subunit ribosomal RNA", at positions 338 to 795 of the family's 1533-position model. The record is from RNAcentral.
CCUACGGGAGGCAGCAGUGAGGAAUAUUGGGCAAUGGACGAGAGUCUGAACCAGCCAAGUAGCGUGAAGGAUGACUGCCCUAUGGGUUGUAAACUUCUUUUAUAUGGGAAUAAAAUGUUCCACGUGUGGGAUUUUGUAUGUACCAUAUGAAUAAGGAUCGGCUAACUCCGUGCCAGCAGCCGCGGUAAUACGGAGGAUCCGAGCGUUAUCCGGAUUUAUUGGGUUUAAAGGGAGCGUAGGUGGAUUGUUUAGUCAGGUGUGAAAGUUUGCGGCUCAACCGUAAAAUUGCAGUUGAAACUGGCAGUCGUGAGUACAGUAGAGGUGAGCGGAAUUCGUGGUGUAGCGGUGAAAUGCUUAGAUAUCACGAAGAACUCCGAUUGCGAAGGCAGCUCACUGGCCUGCAACUGACACUGAGGCUCGAAAGUGUGGGUAUCAAACAGGAUUAGAUACCCCAGUAGUC